UACGUAGGGUGCGAGCGUUGUCCGGAAUUAUUGGGCGUAAAGGGCUCGUAGGCGGUUUGUCGCGUCGGGUGUGAAAUCAUCUGGCUUAACUGGGUGCUUGCUUUCGAUACGGGCAGACUAGAGGUAUGCAGGGGAGAACGGAAUUCCUGGUGUAGCGGUGAAAUGCGCAGAUAUCAGGAGGAACACCGGUGGCGAAGGCGGUUCUCUGGGCAUGAUCUGACGCUGAGGAGCGAAAGUGUGGGGAGCGAACAGG
RNAcentral lists this ribosomal RNA (253 nucleotides) under uncultured bacterium. RNAcentral's name for it is "partial 16S ribosomal RNA". It matches the Rfam family "Bacterial small subunit ribosomal RNA", at positions 524 to 776 of the family's 1533-position model. The record is from RNAcentral.